UACGUAGGUGGCAAGCGUUGUCCGGAAUUAUUGGGCGUAAAGCGCGCGCAGGCGGUCCUUUAAGUCUGAUGUGAAAGCCCACGGCUCAACCGUGGAGGGUCAUUGGAAACUGGGGGACUUGAGUGCAGAAGAGGAGAGUGGAAUCCCACGUGUAGCGGUGAAAUGCGUAGAGAUGUGGAGGAACACCGGUGGCGAAGGCGCCACUCUGGGCCGAAACUGACGCUGAGGAGCGAAAGCGUGGGUAGCAAACAGG
Molecule: ribosomal RNA, 253 nt
Filed under: uncultured bacterium
Lineage: Bacteria
Description: partial 16S ribosomal RNA
Rfam family: Bacterial small subunit ribosomal RNA
Source: RNAcentral